AGUGAACGCUGGCGGUAGGCCUAACACAUGCAAGUCGAACGGCAGCACAGUAAGAGCUUGGUCUUACGGUUGGGGAGUGGCGGACGGGUGAGGGAUACAUCGGAGUCUACUUUUUCGUGGGGGGUGACGUAUGGAAACUUACGCUAAUACCGCAUACGACCUACGUGUGGAAGCUGGGGAUCUUCGGACCUUGCCCGUUUGAAUGCGCCAAUGUCGAAUUAGCUAGUUGGGGGGGUACAGGCCCACCAAGUGGUAGAUGGGAAGCUGGUCUGAGAGGAUGAUCAGCAACACUAGAACUGAGACACGGCACAGACUCCUACGGGAGGCAGCAGUGGGGAAUAUUGGACAAUGGGCGCAAUCCUGCUCCAGCCAUACCGCGUGGGUGAAGAAGACCUUCGGGUUGUAAAGCCCUUUUGUAGGGAAAGAAAAGCAUCAGGUUAAUACCCAGCUGUUCUGACGGUACCCAAAGAAUAAGCACCGGCUAACUUCGUG
Molecule: ribosomal RNA, 492 nt
Filed under: uncultured bacterium
Lineage: Bacteria
Description: partial 16S ribosomal RNA
Rfam family: Bacterial small subunit ribosomal RNA
Source: RNAcentral